ACGAACGCUGGCGGCGUGCUUAACACAUGCAAGUCGAACGGAAAGGCCCUGCUUUUGUGGGGUGCUCGAGUGGCGAACGGGUGAGUAACACGUGAGUAACCUGCCCUUGACUUUGGGAUAACUUCAGGAAACUGGGGCUAAUACCGGAUAGGAGCUCCUGCUGCAUGGUGGGGGUUGGAAAGUUUCGGCGGUUGGGGAUGGACUCGCGGCUUAUCAGCUUGUUGGUGGGGUAGUGGCUUACCAAGGCUUUGACGGGUAGCCGGCCUGAGAGGGUGACCGGGCACAUUGGGACUGAGAGACGGCCCAGACUCCUACGGGAGGCAGCAGUGGGGAAUAUUGCACAAUGGGCGGAAGCCUGAUGCAGCAACGCCGCGUGCGGGAUGACGGCCUUCGGGUUGUAAACCGCUUUCGCCUGUGACGAAGCGUGAGUGACGGUAAUGGGUAAAGAAGCACCGGCUAACUACGUG
This 467-nucleotide ribosomal RNA is filed under the name uncultured bacterium. RNAcentral describes it as "partial 16S ribosomal RNA". It matches the Rfam family "Bacterial small subunit ribosomal RNA", at positions 29 to 507 of the family's 1533-position model. The record is from RNAcentral.